RNAcentral lists this transfer RNA (95 nucleotides) under Salinibacterium amurskyense. RNAcentral describes it as "tRNA-Asp". Lineage: Bacteria; Bacillati; Actinomycetota; Actinomycetes; Micrococcales; Microbacteriaceae. The record is from RNAcentral.
UGCGCGAACUGGGCGAAGUGCAUGGCUUCGAGGUUGUCGUCAUUGACGACAUCGCUCUCGAAGAGGGCCGCCGGGUCUCGUCCACUUUCGUGCGU